Molecule: long non-coding RNA, 388 nt
Organism: Panicum virgatum (switchgrass)
Lineage: Eukaryota; Viridiplantae; Streptophyta; Magnoliopsida; Poales; Poaceae
Exons: 2
Source: RefSeq, a predicted model, not a curated record
CCUUUUGCAUCUGCUUUUAUAUUAUCAUCUAGCAGCUCUUUUCUUUUGUAUGUAGCGGUGAGAUCGAAUGAGAUGGCAGCUAAAGCCCUCUGUCUGCUGUAGUCUAUUAUUCUUAACCAGGCCCUCGAUCUGGCUCUUCUUCUAGCUUUGUAGCCGAUUAAGUCAGUUGUGGCCUUUGAUCUGCCCCCACUUCGUGGAAGAAAGCUUUGCAUUGCAAUAGUAGGUCGGUGAAUGUAACCUUAUUCCAGUGAAUUUCCUCCGACGCCAUUCCAGUCCCGAGGAUAAGAAGAGAAGGUCAAAUUCUUGCAUCCACAGCAUGCAUGUGACCAAAAUCUUAGGCCACAAGAGAAUUGUCACCAUCUAUAGAGCAGGGAAAAACUUUCCGUUG